AUACGGAGGGUGCAAGCGUUACUCGGAAUCACUGGGCGUAAAGCGCGCGCAGGCGGUCUUUUAAGUUGGAUGUGAAAGCCUACGGCUCAACCGUAGAACUGCAUCCAAAACUAUUAGACUAGAGUGUGGGAGAGGAAGAUGGAAUUAGUUGUGUAGGGGUAAAAUCCGUAGAGAUAACUAGGAAUACCAAAAGCGAAGGCAAUCUUCUGGAACACUGCUGACGCUGAGGCGCGAAAGCGUGGGGAGCAAACGGGAUUAGAAACCCUAGUAGUCC
This 274-nucleotide ribosomal RNA is filed under the name uncultured bacterium. RNAcentral's name for it is "partial 16S ribosomal RNA". It matches the Rfam family "Bacterial small subunit ribosomal RNA", at positions 523 to 796 of the family's 1533-position model. The record is from RNAcentral.